Molecule: long non-coding RNA, 620 nt
Filed under: Homo sapiens (human)
Lineage: Eukaryota; Metazoa; Chordata; Mammalia; Primates; Hominidae
Description: non-protein coding lnc-NTRK2-2:4
Source: RNAcentral
AAUGGAAACCAAAAGACUAUAAACUAAUACUUAAAAGUUCUGAAACUAUAUCUAGUGAAUAUAUAUAGUGAAUUUACUAUAUUUUAUAGGUAAUGAACUGUCUUCCAAAGUUAAGACAUUUUCAGACAAAUAAAAAUUUUGUUUACCACCCACAGAUGACCGUAAAGAAAAUUUGGGAAUGUGUAUUUCAGGGAAAAUGAAAAUGAUCCCAAUAAAGAUCGGAGAUGCAGGAAGGAAGGAAAACAUAGAAAUUGGAGCCAGUUGGAGUGUGAGGCUUCAGAAUCGCCUUCCAACUCUCUGUGCACUGCACCAGCUGCUUCCCAUAGACUCCUGGUAAAAUAUGAGAGCGGAAGGAAGAAGAGCCACUACCCAUAACAUCAGUGGCUGCUAACUAAGGAGUGUUUUGACAUGCUGGUACAGCCUAUCCUCAGCUUUCCAGAAGGUGGAAUCUUGUGAUAGUGGAAAGAAGUAGAAGAGAUGAAGGUAGGCCAGUAACCAGCGAUGCCCAGCUGGCUCUGCUAGGAUUACUUACAGCCUGUAUUUGCUCUGAUUGGUGAGGGUCUGUGCCAUGGUUGGUAUUAUUUGAAAACCAUUUCUGGCUACACACCAGUUAUAAAAAA